CUACCAAGACAGUGACGGUUGACGGGGAAUCAGGGUUUGAUACCGGAGAGGGAGCCUGAGAGAUAGCUCCCACGUCCAUGGACGGCAGCAGGCGCGAAAAUUGCCCACUCUUUGCAGGAGGCAGUUAUGAGACGUGAAAGUGAAUAUUCAGUAAAGAUGAAUAGGAGAAUUGGAGGGCAAGUUUGGUGCCAGCCGCCGCGGUAAUACCGACUCCAAGGGUGUGUAUGAGAGAUGCUGCAGUUAAAAAGUCCGUAGUCAUAGAAGAAGAAACAGGGAUGCGAAGUCUCAGUAUUUAGUGAUGGAAAAACCGAUGGGGAACAUAGUAUACCAGGGCGAGAGAUGAAAUGCCAAGACCCCUGGUGGACUAGGCGAGGCGAAAGCGAUGUUCUUGUAGGGAUUUGAUGAUCAAGGACGAAGGCUGGAGUAUCGAAAGUGAUUAGAUACCGCAGUAGUUCCAGCAGUAAAAGAUGCC
Molecule: ribosomal RNA, 472 nt
Filed under: Microsporidia sp.
Lineage: Eukaryota; Fungi; Microsporidia
Description: bacterial SSU rRNA
Rfam family: Microsporidia small subunit ribosomal RNA
Source: RNAcentral